RNAcentral lists this transfer RNA (72 nucleotides) under Ovis aries (sheep). It matches the Rfam family "tRNA". From Rfam's summary of the family: Transfer RNA (tRNA) molecules are approximately 80 nucleotides in length. The record is from Rfam by way of RNAcentral. Lineage: Eukaryota; Metazoa; Chordata; Mammalia; Artiodactyla; Bovidae.
UCCCUGGUGGCUCAGACGGUAAAGCAUCUGCCUGCAAUGCAGGAGACCCAAAUUCGAUCCCUGGGUGGGGAA